UACAGAGGGUGCGAGCGUUAAUCGGAAUUACUGGGCGUAAAGCGUGCGUAGACGGUUAUUUAAGUCGGGUGUGAAAGCCCCGGGCUCAACCUGGGAAUUGCAUUCGAGACUGAAUAGCUAGGGUACGGUAGAGGGAAGCGGAAUUUCCGGUGUAGCGGUGAAAUGCGCAGAUAUCAGGAGGAACACCGAUGGCGAAGGCAGCUCGCUGGGACGGUACUGACGCUGAGGCGCGAAAGCGUGGGGAGCGAACAGG
RNAcentral lists this ribosomal RNA (253 nucleotides) under uncultured bacterium. Its description in RNAcentral is "partial 16S ribosomal RNA". It matches the Rfam family "Bacterial small subunit ribosomal RNA", at positions 524 to 776 of the family's 1533-position model. The record is from RNAcentral.